RNAcentral lists this ribosomal RNA (497 nucleotides) under uncultured bacterium. Its description in RNAcentral is "partial 16S ribosomal RNA". It matches the Rfam family "Bacterial small subunit ribosomal RNA", at positions 28 to 507 of the family's 1533-position model. The record is from RNAcentral.
GAUGAACGCUGGCGGCGUGCCUAAUACAUGCAAGUCGAGCGAACGGACGAGAAGCUUGCUGCUCGGAUGUUAGCGGCGGACGGGUGAGUAACACGUGGAUAACCUACCUAUAAGACUGGGAUAACUUCGGGAAACCGUAGCUAAUACCGGAUAAUAUUUUGAACCGCAUGGUUCAAAAGUGAAAGACGGUCUUGCUGUCACUUAUAGAUGGAUCCGCGCUGCAUUAGCUAGUUGGUAAGGUAACGGCUUACCAAGGCAACGAUGCAUAGCCGACCUGAGAGGGUGAUCGGCCACACUGGAACUGAGACACGGUCCAGACUCCUACGGGAGGCAGCAGUAGGGAAUCUUCCGCAAUGGGCGAAAGCCUGACGGAGCAACGCCGCGUGAGUGAUGAAGGUCUUCGGAUCGUAAAACUCUGUUAUUAGGGAAGAACAUAUGUGUAAGUAACUGUGCACAUCUUGACGGUACCUAAUCAGAAAGCCACGGCUAACUACGUG